Non-coding RNA from Lolium perenne, 1428 nucleotides. Lineage: Eukaryota; Viridiplantae; Streptophyta; Magnoliopsida; Poales; Poaceae. The record is from RefSeq and is a predicted model, not a curated record.
CCUAGCCCAUCUAUUUUUCUAUCGGUGGCCUUCUUCAUGUUGGGAGCGCUCCUUCAAGAGAGGCUCUCGUUGACGUCUGCUCCUCUGCCUCACAUGGUCGACGCCAUCCACUCCAACCACCGCGACCACGCCUCUUUUCCUCCAGAAAAUCCCCACCGAGAGCCCCUGCAAACCCUAGCCUCUCCCUUCCACAUACCGCCGCCACCACAAGCUAUCUUUUCCCGUCCUCUUUUCUUCCUCACGCAAUGGAGAAAACACCACAGCAACCACCAUGGCGCCGCCGCAGCUGACCACCCCGCGCCCGUCCGAGACCACCAGAAGCUCCGUCUCGUCGCCCCGGCCCUGCUCGUCCAAGGAAUCAAGCCGGCGUUCUCUCAAUCAUCGGCAAACUCGCCGAUUCCCCUCUCCGGCCACCACGCACCAGCGAGAUUUCCGACCGCCUCCGACCUCGUCCGCCUCCGUCGAGGUGUUCAUCAGCAUCCUGCUCCGCCAUGGUCGACGACAGGCCUCCGUGCCGCACGCGCUCGUCCCUGCCGGCCUUCUUCCCGGUCGUCGACCUCGUCGUCUCUGCUCUGGUCGCACCAUCCUCGUCCUCGUUUCGUCAGGUUGCUAUACCAUCCAGAAGCGGUUCGAGUUGCUACACGUCUCCAUCUGCAGCAUCUCCAUAGUAGCCGGCUGGUCUCACGCCUGGAGAUGUUUCAGUUUGCGUGGGAGCCUUUCUUCCAAAAUCAACUUCAGCAAGCAGUCUAGCUGGGCUGUUCCCUUUGGCUCCAAAAUGACACUACGCUCAAUUCCAGGGAUGCAUUUUAACAGUUGCCACUUCAGUCAGCAUUUGCUUCUUCCCGGAUAGGAUCGCGAAGUGGUGUGGUGAGAUACGACGAGUUCUCCGGAUGUUCCUCGGCAAGCUUUAACAGCUCCUUCAGUAUUCUUGGAGUACUGGUCCAUAGCUACAUGAAAUCAGAAGACAUAUGCUAGACUCAAGGUAUUUAUACGAGAAAGCUUCAAGGAAGAAUACAUGUCCAAUCAUUUGACAUACCUGGCCCAAUCAUCAUGUAAUUAUCACUAGGAUUAUAGUGCUCGGUUUUCCUUUUGGAUAUUUCCAUUUGCUAGGACACAUACACUAAGACAUCAAUGUAAUUUGCUUAUGGAUUUGAUUUUAGUGGUGAUAAAAGUAACCCAAUAGCUUAAAGAAGAGAAGACGACACUAAAGAGGCUGGAAGAGACGACCAAGUAUCAGGAAUGGAUCGUUACAUCGAGGAAAUGGUAAAUAUGCUCUUAGAAAGGUGGUGUGUUCCUGAUAUCUAAUUAGAAAGGUGCAGACAUGGCCCUGAUUAUGUAGCCCGUGACAUCCAACUAACCGUGACUAUGCUUGGGCUAUACAGUUUAUUCUUAGUAACUAAUCCAGUGAAGUCAUGCCAUCUCUUGAUA